RNAcentral lists this ribosomal RNA (253 nucleotides) under uncultured bacterium. RNAcentral describes it as "partial 16S ribosomal RNA". It matches the Rfam family "Bacterial small subunit ribosomal RNA", at positions 524 to 776 of the family's 1533-position model. The record is from RNAcentral.
GACAGAGGGUGCCAACGUUGCUCGGAAUGACUGGGCGUAAAGCGCGUGUAGGCGGCUUCGCGAGUCCGAUGUGAAAGCCCGGGGCUCAACCCCGGAAGGGCAUGGGAUACUACGGAGCUGGAGGCCUGUAGAGGAGAGCGGAAUUCCCGGUGUAGAGGUGAAAUUCGUAGAUAUCGGGAGGAACACCAGUGGCGAAGGCGGCUCUCUGGACAGGUACUGACGCUGAGACGCGAAAGCGUGGGUAGCAAACAGG